UGCAGCCUCGUCAAAUUCGGUGCCACCUCUGCCAUGGUGUGCGCCGGCCCAAGGGCUGCCACAGCAUCACCCGUGCUUCAUGGGCCCCACAUCCCUGCUGUGGGAUGGUGGGGAUAAAAACAUGCCACGUACAUGG
This is a small nucleolar RNA of Chrysolophus pictus (golden pheasant), 136 nucleotides long. The record is from Ensembl. NCBI's taxonomy places the organism in Eukaryota, Metazoa, Chordata, Aves, Galliformes, Phasianidae.